AGUGAACGCUGGCGGUAGGCCUAACACAUGCAAGUCGAACGGCAGCACAGUAAGAGCUUGCUCUUACGGGUGGCGAGUGGCGGACGGGUGAGGAAUACAUCGGAAUCUACUUUUUCGUGGGGGAUAACGUAGGGAAACUUACGCUAAUACCGCAUACGACCUACGGGUGAAAGCAUGGGAUCUUCGGACCUUGCGCGAUUGAAUGAGCCGAUGUCGGAUUAGCUAGUUGGCGGGGUAAAGGCCCACCAAGGCGACGAUCCGUAGCUGGUCUGAGAGGAUGAUCAGCCACACUGGAACUGAGACACGGUCCAGACUCCUACGGGAGGCAGCAGUGGGGAAUAUUGGACAAUGGGCGCAAGCCUGAUCCAGCCAUACCGCGUGGGUGAAGAAGGCCUUCGGGUUGUAAAGACCUUUUGUUGGGAAAGAAAAGCAGCAGGUUAAUACCCCGCUGUUCUGACGGUACCCAAAGAAUAAGCACCGGCUAACUUCGUG
RNAcentral lists this ribosomal RNA (492 nucleotides) under uncultured bacterium. Its description in RNAcentral is "partial 16S ribosomal RNA". It matches the Rfam family "Bacterial small subunit ribosomal RNA", at positions 29 to 507 of the family's 1533-position model. The record is from RNAcentral.